GUGCUUGCACAUAUACCAAAAUUGGAACGAUACAGAGAAGAUUAGUAUGGCCGCUGCACAAGGAUGACAUGCAAAUUCAUGAAGCGUUCCAUAUUUCC
RNAcentral lists this small nuclear RNA (98 nucleotides) under Erinaceus europaeus (western European hedgehog). Lineage: Eukaryota; Metazoa; Chordata; Mammalia; Eulipotyphla; Erinaceidae. The record is from RNAcentral.